Molecule: ribosomal RNA, 253 nt
Filed under: uncultured bacterium
Lineage: Bacteria
Description: partial 16S ribosomal RNA
Rfam family: Bacterial small subunit ribosomal RNA
Source: RNAcentral
UACGGGGGGGGCAAGCGUUGUUCGGGAUUACUGGGCGUAAAGGGCUCGUAGGUGGCCAACUAAGUCAUACGUGAAAUCCCUCGGCUUAACCGGGGAACUGCGUCUGAUACUGGAUGGCUUGAGAUUGGGAGAGGGAUGCGGAAUUCCAGGUGUAGCGGUGAAAUGCGUAGAUAUCUGGAGGAACACCGGUGGCGAAGGCGGCAUCCUGGACCGAGAUUGACGCUGAGGCGCGAAAGCUAGGGGAGCAAACGGG